RNAcentral lists this ribosomal RNA (253 nucleotides) under uncultured bacterium. RNAcentral describes it as "partial 16S ribosomal RNA". It matches the Rfam family "Bacterial small subunit ribosomal RNA", at positions 524 to 776 of the family's 1533-position model. The record is from RNAcentral.
UACAGAGGUCUCAAGCGUUGUUCGGAUUCAUUGGGCGUAAAGGGUGUGUAGGUGGCGCCGUAAGUCGGGUGUGAAAUUUCGGAGCUUAACUCCGAAACUGCAUUCGAUACUGCGGUGCUUGAGGACUGGAGAGGAGACUGGAAUUCAUGGUGUAGCAGUGAAACGCGUAGAGAUCAUGAGGAAGACCAGUGGCGAAGGCGGGUCUCUGGACAGUUCCUGACACUGAGACACGAAGGCCAGGGGAGCAAACGGG